This 429-nucleotide ribosomal RNA is filed under the name Bacteroidota bacterium. Its description in RNAcentral is "Bacteroidetes bacterium partial 16S ribosomal RNA". It matches the Rfam family "Bacterial small subunit ribosomal RNA", at positions 355 to 776 of the family's 1533-position model. The record is from RNAcentral. Lineage: Bacteria; Pseudomonadati; Bacteroidota.
UAGGGAAUCUUCCGCAAUGGACGCAAGUCUGACGGAGCAACGCCGCGUGAGUGAAGAAGGAUUUCGGUUCGUAAAACUCUGUUGUUAGAGAAGAACAGCGCAUAGAGUAACUGUUAUGCGUGUGACGGUAUCUAACCAGAAAGCCACGGCUAACUACGUGCCAGCAGCCGCGGUAAUACGUAGGUGGCAAGCGUUGUCCGGAUUUAUUGGGCGUAAAGCGAGCGCAGGCGGUCAAUUAAGUCUGAUGUGAAAGCCCCCGGCUCAACCGGGGAGGGUCAUUGGAAACUGGUUGACUUGAGUGCAGAAGAGGAGAGUGGAUUUCCAUGUGUAGCGGUGAAAUGCGUAGAUAUAUGGAGGAAAACCAGUGGCGAAGGCGACUCUCUGGUCUGUAACUGACGCUGAGGCUCGAAAGCGUGGGUAGCAAACAGG